RNAcentral lists this transfer RNA (77 nucleotides) under Bdellovibrionales bacterium. RNAcentral describes it as "tRNA-Arg". It matches the Rfam family "tRNA". Rfam says of the family: Transfer RNA (tRNA) molecules are approximately 80 nucleotides in length. Their secondary structure includes four short double-helical elements and three loops (D, anti-codon, and T loops). The record is from RNAcentral. Lineage: Bacteria; Pseudomonadati; Bdellovibrionota; Bdellovibrionia; Bdellovibrionales.
GCACCCGUAGCUCAGCUGGAUAGAGUACCUGACUACGAAUCAGGUGGUCGGUGGUUCGAAUCCAUCCGGGUGCGCCA